UCCCUGGUGGCUUAGAUGGUAAAGAAUCUGCCUGCAAUGCAGGAGACCUGGGUUCGAUCCCUGGGCUGGAAG
Bos taurus (domestic cattle) is the source of this 72-nucleotide non-coding RNA. Lineage: Eukaryota; Metazoa; Chordata; Mammalia; Artiodactyla; Bovidae. The record is from Rfam.